CCCUGAGGGGGCUGAGAGCUGGCAGCAUUCCUUGCCUCUGCCUGGCUGACACAGAGAAGGCUCCCACUGAUUUUAGGGACAAGGAAGGUGUGCUCCAGCUGUGGCUUCAGGGAGGAGUUUAUCAGGGUGCAUGGGAAGUGGGACACAUGGUAACAACAGGAAUUAUUAGAAAAAUGGUGAAGAAUUGCUCACAGUCUUUUGGGCAGUUGCUGGUUUCAGUGAAGAAGUGUUGCACGUAUUGUACACACAAACACAGAUCAGUUUGAAAAUCAGAGCAGGAAACCCAGUGUGAGCAUCCUUUCCCUCUGCUGACCCCCUGUGACCUACUUCCACAUUAGCAGAGAGAAGCAAACACAGGGUGGGAUGUGUUUGUGUGCUCAGCAGUUGUCAGCAGGCUGUCCAGAAGUAAUGAUCUCAGACAAAAAUAACCCUGAAAAAUCUUUCCAAAUAUAGUCCCUCAUUAUUGGUGCUGUAUCAGUUUCAUUUCAAGCUGUGCCUGGCAGCUUUUCUCUCUUGUCCCCUUGAAGAGGACACUAACAGGUCUGAGGCACCAGGGCCUGUCUCUAAAACAUGUUUGUAAAACCUCAUCACACCUAGAAGAGUCAAUGCUCACACAACCAAUUUGAACCAAGCUCUGUGUUACAACCUGAUUUAAAACUUCACUGGUUUCAACAAAAGAGGGAAGAGAGAGUGGAAUAUGAAAUGUCAGAUUUUCUUCCUCUUUUUGUUUUGGAAACCUUACUAGCUGUCAUACAAUGUUGGCAAAAUCCAUCCAUUUUACAAAGGAAGAGAACAGAUGUACCCAGUGCAAUGUCUGUGAAAAAAAAAAAAACAAACAAACAAAAAAAACCCCAAAAAAGCACAAGGCUAUUGUCAGAAUGCAUCCAUGGACUGCUUGGAAGUGCUAAGUAUGCCAUGGAUGCAGAACAAGCCUAGUUAGGGACUGAGAACUGGCCAUGUUUGCUUCUGAGCCAUUUAGGGAAUUCAUGAGGCCUGCUGGCCAAAAUAAACCAUUUUAAGGGACACAAGGCUGCCUUGAAACAACUGAAGAUAAAUCUCAGUGGCUUCAAAGGAAGACUGAGUCUGGCUUUUUUGGGUAUGAAGGUAAGUUCCUACAAUGUGGCCCUUGCAGCUUCAGCACCUACAGCCUGAGCAAUCCCUUCCUCUGUUGACAAGGGAGAGAGCCCAGAGGAGCGUGAUCCACAGUGCCAGUCCCAGCAAGUGCACUUGUCCUGGAAAACAGCAGGGUGUGAACUGCAUUCAGACACAAAAUCUCAUGGCUCCUCAGCCUGGAGGGAAUCACCCCCAGCAAAUCCCAGUGGCUGCACACCUGACCUACCACAGAUGAUCAGCUUGCAGCUGUAAGUCGUAGGGUUCAUAAGCAGGCAGGUGCUUCUUGUUGAGGGGAGCCCCAGCUUAGGCUUGGAUGUGUUGCUAAUGGUGCCCCUGUGUUGGGGUCACUGAUGAAAGCCCAGCUCAGGGAACAGCUCUUGUCACAUGCUCUGGUUCCUCAGUGGGGCCAUGAAGCAGGAAGCACUGUCCUUCCCAGGAUACUCCAUCUUGAAGUAAAAAAUGCUGCUGGGGACAGUCACUGUGGGCUGCUUCCCACUGCACACACAAACAUGCAAACAGAGCCAGAACCACCAGCACAGAGAGUCUUGUGCAUGAGUACAAAUCUUAAAGAGCUUGGGUAUAUCAUUUCAUGACCUG
Molecule: long non-coding RNA, 1710 nt
Filed under: Taeniopygia guttata (zebra finch)
Lineage: Eukaryota; Metazoa; Chordata; Aves; Passeriformes; Estrildidae
Description: lncRNA (ENSTGUG00000028428.1)
Source: RNAcentral